GACGAACGCUGGCGGCGUGCUUAACACAUGCAAGUCGAACGGAAAGGCCCUGCUUUUGUGGGGUGCUCGAGUGGCGAACGGGUGAGUAACACGUGAGUAACCUGCCCUUGACUUUGGGAUAACUUCAGGAAACUGGGGCUAAUACCGGAUAGGAGCUCCUGCUGCAUGGUGGGGGUUGGAAAGUUUCGGCGUUGGGGGAUGGACUCGAGGCUUAUCAGCUUGUUGGUGGGGUAGUGGCUUACCAAGGCUUUGACGGGUAGCCGGCCUGAGAGGGUGACCGGCCACCUUGGGACUGCGAGACGGCGCAGACUCCAACGGGCGGCAGUAGUGGGGAAUAUUACACAAUGGGCGGAAGCCUGAUGCAGAAACGCCGCGUGCGGGAUGACGGCCUUCGAGUUGUAAACCGAUGUCGCCUGUAACGAACCGUGAGUGACGGUAAUGGGUAAAGAAGCACCGGCUAACUACGUG
RNAcentral lists this ribosomal RNA (468 nucleotides) under uncultured bacterium. RNAcentral's name for it is "partial 16S ribosomal RNA". It matches the Rfam family "Bacterial small subunit ribosomal RNA", at positions 28 to 507 of the family's 1533-position model. The record is from RNAcentral.